This 253-nucleotide ribosomal RNA is filed under the name uncultured bacterium. RNAcentral describes it as "partial 16S ribosomal RNA". It matches the Rfam family "Bacterial small subunit ribosomal RNA", at positions 524 to 776 of the family's 1533-position model. The record is from RNAcentral.
GACGUAGGGCGCGAGCGUUGUCCGGAUUUAUUGGGCGUAAAGAGCUCGUAGGCGGCUCAUUGCGUCAACCGUGAAAACCUGCCGCUCAACGGUAGGCUUGCGGUUGAUACGGGUGGGCUGGAGUUCGGUAGGGGAGACUGGAAUUCCUGGUGUAGUGGUGAAAUGCGCAGAUAUCAGGAGGAACACCGGUGGCGAAGGCGGGUCUCUGGGCCGAUACUGACGCUGAGGAGCGAAAGCGUGGGGAGCGAACAGG